Molecule: ribosomal RNA, 204 nt
Filed under: Balamuthia mandrillaris
Lineage: Eukaryota; Discosea; Longamoebia; Balamuthiidae
Description: partial small subunit ribosomal RNA
Rfam family: Bacterial small subunit ribosomal RNA
Source: RNAcentral
AGACCACUAAACGUUGUAAAGUACUAAGCUCGGGGAUAAUAAUGACGGUACCCGAGUAAAAAGCCCUGACUAACUUCGUGCCAGCAGUCGCGGUAAAACGGAGAGGGCAAGUGUUAUUCGUAUUGACUGGGUGUAAAGGGUACGUAGGCGGUUAUUUAAGUUAUAAAAAAAAAACUAUAUCUUUUUAUAAUACUAUAUGACUAG